AGUGAACGCUGGCGGUAGGCCUAACACAUGCCAGUCGAACGGCAGCACAGUAAGAGCUUGCUCUUACGGGUGGCGAGUGGCGGACGGGUGAGGAAUACAUCGGCAUCUACUUUUUCGUGGGGGAUAACGUAGGGAAACUUACGCUACUACCGCAUACGACCUACGGGUGAAAGCAGGGGAUCUUCGGACCUUGCGCGAUUGAAUGAGCCGAUGUCGGAUUAGCUAGUUGGCGGGGUAAAGGCCCACCAAGGCGACGAUCCGUAGCUGGUCUGAGAGGAUGAUCAGCCACACUGGAACUGAGACACGGUCCAGACUCCUACGGGAGGCAGCAGUGGGGAAUAUUGGACAAUGGGCGCAAGCCUGAUCCAGCCAUACCGCGUGGGUGAAGAAGGCCUUCGGGUUGUAAAGCCCUUUUGUUGGGAAAGAAAAGCAGCAGGUUAAUACCCCGCUGUUCUGACGGUACCCAAAGAAUAAGCACCGGCUAACUUCGUG
RNAcentral lists this ribosomal RNA (492 nucleotides) under uncultured bacterium. RNAcentral describes it as "partial 16S ribosomal RNA". It matches the Rfam family "Bacterial small subunit ribosomal RNA", at positions 29 to 507 of the family's 1533-position model. The record is from RNAcentral.